AAACCCUAUUUUUCUCCUCCUCAGACCUCAAUCAUCUCUUGCUCUGCCUUCAGAUUCAAAUUCUUGAUUUCACUCUCCACUGCGAUAUGAAUUAUCGUUUCUCGUUGUUGCUGCCUCUGCUUGCUACGAUAGCUAUCAUCAUUGUCACCGUCGAUGUGCAGGUAGGCCAUCCAUUGCUCUUGGCUUUGUAGUCAUCGCAGAACCACCUCUGACCUCGGUCACCGCCUUCAGGCAUCGUCUCUGUCACCAUAAACGCAAACGUCACUGCUGAUGACCCCGCGAGAAAAGCGGGUUUGUUGGACUCGUCGAAAGAUAUUCUGAUUUCUCUAUUAUUGUUGCAAUCUGCUACUUUCUUCGUAAUUGUUUCUGAGAUUUCGUAAAGAGUCUAUUGGAGUUUAAGCUUAAGCAAUGCA
Non-coding RNA from Arachis ipaensis, 413 nucleotides. The record is from RefSeq and is a predicted model, not a curated record. NCBI's taxonomy places the organism in Eukaryota, Viridiplantae, Streptophyta, Magnoliopsida, Fabales, Fabaceae.